ACUACGGGGGGCUGCAGUGGGGGAUAUUGCACAAUGGGGGGAACCCUGAUGCAGCGACGCCGCGUGGGUGAAGAAGCGCCUCGGCGCGUAAAGCCCUGUCAGCAGGGAAGAAAAUGACGGUACCUGAAGAAGAAGCCCCGGCUAACUACGUGCCAGCAGCCGCGGUAAUACGUAGGGGGCAAGCGUUAUCCGGAUUUACUGGGUGUAAAGGGGGCGCAGACGGCGAUGCAAGCCAGGAGUGAAAGCCCGGGGCCCAACCCCGGGACUGCUCUUGGAACUGCGUGGCUGGAGUGCAGGAGGGGCAGGCGGAAUUCCUGGUGUAGCGGUGAAAUGCGUAGAGAUCAGGAGGAACACCGGUGGCGAAGGCGGCCUGCUGGACUGCAACUGACGUUGAGGCCCGAAAGCGUGGGGAGCAAACAGGAUUAGAUACCCCAGUAGUC
This 440-nucleotide ribosomal RNA is filed under the name uncultured bacterium. RNAcentral's name for it is "partial 16S ribosomal RNA". It matches the Rfam family "Bacterial small subunit ribosomal RNA", at positions 338 to 795 of the family's 1533-position model. The record is from RNAcentral.